Molecule: ribosomal RNA, 1157 nt
Filed under: Escherichia coli
Lineage: Bacteria; Pseudomonadati; Pseudomonadota; Gammaproteobacteria; Enterobacterales; Enterobacteriaceae
Also listed under: 1 other name
Description: partial 23S ribosomal RNA
Rfam family: Bacterial large subunit ribosomal RNA
Source: RNAcentral
GGGUUGUGAGGUUAAGCGACUAAGCGUACACGGUGGAUGCCCUGGCAGUCAGAGGCGAUGAAGGACGUGCUAAUCUGCGAUAAGCGUCGGUAAGGUGAUAUGAACCGUUAUAACCGGCGAUUUCCGAAUGGGGAAACCCAGUGUGAUUCGUCACACUAUCAUUAACUGAAUCCAUAGGUUAAUGAGGCGAACCGGGGGAACUGAAACAUCUAAGUACCCCGAGGAAAAGAAAUCAACCGAGAUUCCCCCAGUAGCGGCGAGCGAACGGGGAGCAGCCCAGAGCCUGAAUCAGUGUGUGUGUUAGUGGAAGCGUCUGGAAAGGCGCGCGAUACAGGGUGACAGCCCCGUACACAAAAAUGCACAUAUUGUGAGCUCGAUGAGUAGGGCGGGACACGUGGUAUCCUGUCUGAAUAUGGGGGGCCCAUCCUCCAAGGCUAAAUACUCCUGACUGACCGAUAGUGAACCAGUACCGUGAGGGAAAGGCGAAAAGAACCCCGGCGAGGGGAGUGAAAAAGAACCUGAAACCGUGUACGUACAAGCAGUGGGAGCACGCUUAGGCGUGUGACUGCGUACCUUUUGUAUAAUGGGUCAGCGACUUAUAUUCUGUAGCAAGGUUAACCGAAUAGGGGAGCCGAAGGGAAACCGAGUCUUAACUGGGCGUUAAGUUGCAGGGUAUAGACCCGAAACCCGGUGAUCUAGCCAUGGGCAGGUUGAAGGUUGGGUAACACUAACUGGAGGACCGAACCGACUAAUGUUGAAAAAUUAGCGGAUGACUUGUGGCUGGGGGUGAAAGGCCAAUCAAACCGGGAGAUAGCUGGUUCUCCCCGAAAGCUAUUUAGGUAGCGCCUCGUGAAUUCAUCUCCGGGGGUAGAGCACUGUUUCGGCAAGGGGGUCAUCCCGACUUACCAACCCGAUGCAAACUGCGAAUACCGGAGAAUGUUAUCACGGGAGACACACGGCGGGUGCUAACGUCCGUCGUGAAGAGGGAAACAACCCAGACCGCCAGCUAAGGUCCCAAAGUCAUGGUUAAGUGGGAAACGAUGUGGGAAGGCCCAGACAGCCAGGAUGUUGGCUUAGAAGCAGCCAUCAUUUAAAGAAAGCGUAAUAGCUCACUGGUCGAGUCGGCCUGCGCGGAAGAUGUAACGGGGCUAAACCAU